AUACGAGGGGUGCAAGCGUUAAUCGGAAUUACUGGGCGUAAAGCGUUCGUAGGCGGUUUGUUAAGCAAGAUGUGAAAGCCCUGGGCUCAACCUGGGAACUGCAUUUUGAACUGGCAAGCUAGAAUACUGUAGAGGGUGGUGGAAUUUCCAGUGUAGCGGUGAAAUGCGUAGAGAUUGGAAGGAACAUCAGUGGCGAAGGCGGCCACCUGGACAGAUAUUGACGCUGAGGAACGAAAGCGUGGGGAGCGAACAGGAUUAGAAACCCCUGUAGUCC
Molecule: ribosomal RNA, 274 nt
Filed under: uncultured bacterium
Lineage: Bacteria
Description: partial 16S ribosomal RNA
Rfam family: Bacterial small subunit ribosomal RNA
Source: RNAcentral